Molecule: long non-coding RNA, 663 nt
Filed under: Gallus gallus (chicken)
Lineage: Eukaryota; Metazoa; Chordata; Aves; Galliformes; Phasianidae
Description: lncRNA (ENSGALG00010014553.1)
Source: RNAcentral
CAAAAAGGCCCUCAGUGACUUUCAAGGGACAGGAAACCUUAUGAAAAUACUGCUUGCUGGAAAACCAAAACUUCCCUUCUAUAAUCAUUGCUUGUUGACAGCAGCGUGGCUGAAAGGGCUGCAGGAGGACUUCCUGUCCGCACCAGAUCAGGUUACACUGCUGUCCUGUUUCCCCUACCACUUAAGUCUGGGAUGUACGUGUUGGGAGCAGAAAUCCAUAGGAGGUAUUGGAGAACAAAUGUGGACCAGAGCUCAAAGAAAGCCCAGGUCUCCAUCCAGCCUCAUGCGGCACUGGUACCUGAGUGAGCAGGGAGCCCAAGAGCAACACCUGUGUCUGCUUCCAGCCAGAUUCGCACUGAUGUUACCAGGAGCAACUCUGUUGACUUCCGCAAGGUUCUACUCAAUGACACCGCAUAAACGACAGGACACUGAAAAUAGCCCAAGAAAUCAGAUUUUCAACAUAAUCAACUGGUGCUUUCUGAAAAGGAAAAAAAAAAAAAGAAAAGAAAAAAUGCAGCUAUCCUGCAAGCAGCACCCCAGCAAUCCUAUGAUGGUAAUUAAAAUCCUGGAUUCUCUUCAGUGUAACCCUCUGAUGCAGCGUUACCGUCUCCAGGCCGUCCCAAGGCACAGGUGAUUGCUUCUCCUUAGAGCACCAAAUCCCCG